GUUUUUUUUUUGUAGUGGGAAAAAUUCCUAAGCAACCGAAUAUGGACGUAUGUAAUAAUAGUUAUCAUAGAUCGCAGAGGGCGGAAUGCAUAAUUGCUAUGAAACAUUUUUUUAAGCUUGGCAUUGGUGAAUAAGAUGCAAUGAAAAUGUACAAGAAUAAGUACAAAUUCACCUCGGAGGUGGUAGCAUAUGGCUGCAUCUACCAACUUGCACACAAAACAUCUAUGGUCUAUGAACACCUGACUGAUGCUUUAGAUGAAUUUAUUGGCAGUGUGGUUUUUGGUUAGCCACUGAUGUUCUAGUUCAUGUCUCGAGUUUGUGAAGAUGAGCGGAAGAGCCAGAUAUGGGUCACAGAGGAUGGCACUAUGGAUAAAUAUAACGACUCAUUUGAGGAUGUCCUCCUACUCCAAAACAAUCCACAGUUAAUGGACAAAAACUUCAACAUCCUCCGGGAGAGAAUCGGCACAAACACAUUACAAAUAGAGAUGCUAGCAUACAAAUACACCAACUGAAAGAACAUGCGGUGCCCCAUGUUUGGUUUUGGUAAUUGAUAACAAUCUCUAUGGACUAAUGGUUGCCUUGAGUUAUAUUUGAAGGUUUUGUCCAUAGGCUUUUCUUGGAGUACAUGUGUUUGUUUCAAGGAGAGUUUGUGUCUAUCAAGGUGUUAUUCAAGGAAUUAUCCAAAGAUUAGUCAUGUGAGAGUUGAGCUUAUUGCAAGCAUGUCUUGAAGAAGAAGAUUGUGUGAUCAUUCAUGUCUACCUUUGUAACGCCCGGAUAAUUAAGCUACAGUAAUUUUCUGCUGAUGAUGCCACGUCAUCACUGUUACUGUUGUUAAACUCGCGUUGGUUCGUAUCCGGUCCAAAUUUAAAUUUAAAAUAAAGUCAAAAAUAAAAGUUUUUUUUUAAUGUCAAAACCAAAAUGUGCAGGCUGUGGAAAAUAAUUCAUAAAUAUUAUUGGAGAAGAAACCAAAUUCUUAUAAGAUGUUUAGGUGCUCAAAAAUAAAUAAAACAGUGGCUUAAACAAUUAUUCAAAUGCCUUUUGUAAUUUCUAAAAUGUUAAGCUAUUUUAUUUUUGGGUGAAACUUUUUGUGGCAUUGGUAUAAUUAGGAAUAAUAUUUUAGGAACAAAUUCUAUAUUUUAUAGAACUCUAAUAAAUUAAAAGUUGAGUGAAAACAGAGCAGAAAAUAAACAAUAGAAAAAUAAAACCCAAACAACAAAACAAAACAAAUCCCCUCCCCAUCUCCCCUGUUCACGCGAUCGUGGACACCGGCGAUGGCCGCCACGGCAGAGGGCGUCGCCGUGGCGCCCAUCCGCCACCCCUCCGGCGCCUACUUAACCGGUGUCCCCCCUCUCCACGCGAACCCUAAUCCCCACUUCCCCCCUUGCGCCCCCAACCCCUCGAGCCCGCCCCGUGGAUGCCCGGAGCCGCGUCGCCAUUGGUCCUCGCCUUCCCGUCGCCUCGUCGACACGUCUUCCUCCGCCACGGACACCGCACACUCAUCGUCGAUUCGUUUCACCACGAGUCCCUCCAGCAUCACCGAGCAGCUCCUAGUCAACAAUGUGAGCAGGCGCCCGAACCCCUUCUGUUUCACCAUCUAAUCCGUGCCCAUUGCCUAGCUAGACGUCGCGUCCGAAGCUCACCAUCGCAGUUCAUGUCGCCACCGCGGCCACUGCUCGCGAAGCUCACGACGAGCUCCGCUUCGUGUUCCUGGAGUUCUCAGGAACCCGUAGCACCCAACCCCGUCGCUUCCCGUGUCCUACAUCGCCUCCUUGAGUUCUCCAUGGCGCCAUCGAAGCAUCGCGUCCGCGCUCCUGCGCGCUCGUGUAACCGCCGCGGCCUGUCCGUGCCCACCUGCGCUGCUGCCGCUAGUUGCUUCUGCUGCUGAUGGCUGCUGCUCUCGCCGCCGUUCUCUGCCACUUGUGUUCGCCUGCAACUUUGCUGCUGUCGCCGGCGCUCCCUGCGUGCGCCCGCCGGAGCACCCCGGCCGCGCCCGCGCAUACGCGCGCCCGUCCGCCUCGUGCACGGCUUUGCCUCCCCUGCUGCAGCGCCCCAGCCCGCUUGCUCCCACCGCUACUUGCUGUAUUGAUGCUUGUACUGUAGUCUGUAGGUGCUGCUAGCUAGCUUUGCAAAUCCUACACUAACUAACCCUUUGGACAGCCUCUAAACAUACACUAAACAAUUGUUAACAGGUCUAAGAAGAAUAUGAGUAGAAAGUAUACUUGACAAACUUCAUUUUAUCCCACUGGACCAAAUCCUUUCGAUGCAUCGAUUAAAUCCUAUAAAAAUCACAAAAUGCCAUCUUCUCUUACACCUAGCAUUGUGUGUGUAUACAGCCACCACUGCCCGGGCCGUACAAAUUAGUUUAGGGGAUAAUUUCUAGUUAGUUUAAUUGCUAGCCAAUGAUAAGAGGGGCCCAUGUUUAGAUUAGAUAAAUCUACUUAGGAAUUUAAUAAAACUAAUUAACUUUUAGUUAAUUUCGCUGACAUGUGGCCCUGCUGUAAAUUAAAAUGAUAGAUUAAACUAAAAGUGCCUAAGUCUAUGACAGCCGGGACCCACCUUUACUAUUCACUGCUGACUGGACCCUCCCUGACCCACUGUCAGCCUCUGUGUACACAAAGCUGGCUACACAUAGCAAUUUGUUAUUUAAUUUUGAAUUAAAAUAAUUUCAAAAUAUUGUUUAAAUCUUUGAAAAAUCAUAGAAAAUAAUCCGUAACUCGGAUGAAAAAGUUUUAUACAUGAAAGUUGCUCAGAACAACGAGACGAAUCCGGAUACGCAGCCCGUUCGUCCGCCACGCAUCCCGAGCAUAGUGAACAUACAAAUUUUCCCCUCCGAUUCAUCUGUCCGAAAACGCGAAACACCGAGGAUAUUUUCCCGGAUGUUUCCCCCCUUCACCGGUAUCACCUCAUACCGUGUUAGGGCACCCCUAGCACCGUUACUUGACAUGUCAUGCAUCGUCAUGCAUCUGUUUGCUUAAUAUUUAUUGUUUCUUUCCCCUCUUCUCUCGCUAGACACCGAGACCGACGCCGCUGCUACCCAGUACGACUACGGUGUUGACGAUCCCUUUCUCUUGCCAGAGCAACCAGGCAAGACCCCCCUCUUGAUCACCAGAUAUUGCUUACUCUUCUCUAUACUGCUUGCAUUAGAGUAGUGUAGCAUGUUACUGCUUUCCGUUAAUCCUAUCCUGAUGCAUAGCCUGUCAUUGUUGCUACAAUUGUUGAUACCUUACCUGCAAUCCUGCAUGCUUAGUAUAGGUUGCUAGUAGUUCAUCAGUGGCCCUACAUUCUUGUCCGUCUUCCAUGCUAUACUUUCGGGCCGUGAUCACUCGGGAAGUGAUCAUGGGUAUAUACAUACAUAUAUACAUACUAUCAAGCGGUGACUAAAGUCGGGUCGGCUCGUUGAGUACCCGCAAGUGAUUCCGAUGUUGGGGGCUGAAGGGGCAGGUGGUUCCACCCAGGUAGUGGUGGGCUUGGGUUCCCGACGGCCCCCGACUAUUACCUUGAGGCGGAGCGACAUGGCAGGUUGAGACCACCUAGGAGAGAGGUGGGCCUGACCCUGGUCGGCUUCCGUGGAUAUGUCAGCAUAACAUGCUUAACGAGAUCUUGGUAUUUGAUCUGAGUCUGGCCGCUGGCCUAUACGCACUAACCAACUACGCGGGAACAGUUAUGGGCACUCGACGUCGUGGUAUCAGCCGAAGCCUUCCUGACGUCAGCGACUGAGCGGUGCGCGUCGGGUUGGACUGGAACGCCUGCUCUUGUAUAAGGGAGGCUAGGUCUGCUCGCCGGCCGCGUUCGCAACGUGCAGGUGUGCAAUGGGCGAUGGGCCCAGACCCCUGCGCCAUAGGAUUUACACCGGCAUGCUGACCUCUUUGUUGUGCCUAGGUAGGGUUGCGACGUGUUGAUCUUCCGAGGCCGGGCAUGACCCAGAAAAGUGUGUCCGGACAAAGGGGAUCAAGCGUGUUGGGAAAUGUGGUGCACCCCUGCAGGGAAGUUAAUCUAUUUGAAUAGCCGUGAUCUUCGGUAACAGGACGACUUAGAGUUGUACCUUGACCUUUUGCCAACUAGAACCGGUUACUUAAUAAAACACACCCUUCCAAGUGCUAGAUACAACCCGGUGAUCGCUCUCUAACAGGGCGAUGAGGAGAGGAUCGCCGGGUAGGAUUAUGCUACACGAUGCUACUUGGUGAACUUACCAUCUACUCUCUUCUACAUGCUGCAAGAUGGAGGUUGCCAGAAGCGUAGUCUUCGAUAGGACUAGCUAUCCCCCUCUUAUUCCGGCAUUCUGCAGUUUAGUCCACAUAUGAUACCCCUUUUCCAUUUGAUACCAAUGCAUACAUAUGUAGUGUAGCUCCUUGCUUGUGAGUACUUUGGUGAGUACUCACGGUUGCUUUGUUUCCCCUUUUCCCCCUUCCUAUACCCGAUUGCUGCGACCAGACGAUGGAGUCCAGGAGCUAGAAGCCACCGUUGACGAUGACUCCUACUACACAGGAGGUGCCUACUACUACGUGCGGCCCGCUGACGACGACCAGGAGUAGUUUAGGAGGAUCCCAGGCAGGAGGCCUGCGCCUCUUUCGGUCUAUAUCCCAGUUUGUGCUAGCCUUCUUAAGGCAAACUUGUUUACUUACGUUUGUACUCAGAUAUUAUUGCUUCCGCUGACUCGUCUAUGAUCGAGCUCUUGUAUUCGAGCCCUCGAGGCCCCUGGCUUGUAAUAUGAUGCUUGUAUGACUUAUUUUAUUUGUAGAGUUGUGUUGUGAUAUCUUCCCGUGAGUCCCUGAUCUUGAUCGUACACGUUUGCGUGUAUGAUUAGUGUACGAUUGAAUCGGGGGCGUCACAACCUUCAAGACAUCAUCCAAAUGAAGAGAAUUGGAAAGGUUUAAGGUUGAUCAAGACUAAGUCAAGAGUGAAUCAAGUUGAUCAACUCACAAAGCGCAGAAGAUGUACCGAAAGGGAUCAAGUGGUCCCAUGGUAUGGUAAGCAUUGUCAAUUACGCUUUGUAUACUAACCCAUGGUCUUCGUGAGAGUUCUGUGUGGGGUUAGGUUGCCGUGUGCAAGUUCAAGUGAUGCAUCACAAAGAGAUCAAGUGCUUGAAGCUUGCCUUCCAUUGUGGUGACAAUGGACUUGUGAAGAUGUGCGUAAGAGUUUCUCACCCAUAGUGGAGUAUGGGGGAGCAAUCUACUAGUCUUCACCAAGCCACCGCAAUCAAGAAAGGUGGUCCAACUUGAGAAAGUCAAGAUCAUCAUCAUGUAGCUCAAGUGGACUAUGUGCAAGACAAAGGUUUGCCCUUGAUAGGUUUUCUAUUUUACCGGUCUCAUAGUGGUAGUCGGGAGACCGGGUUAUAGGAUUGAUUGCCGUACUAUCAAGAGGGGCUCUCGAUGAGUAGCUUGAUCGUAUCGUUCGUAGAGAGUUCAAACCAUUGCAUCCUUGCAUCAUCUUUAUUGGUUCUUGUUUGGUUCUUCUCUUUGUGAGUUUUGGAGCUUAUGGUCAUCUUGAUGACAAGCUCGAGUUCAUCAAAAACGGAGUUCACAUGCAUCUUCUAUGAUGUUUUCGAUGUUGGAGGUUUUGCCGGUUCUUCUCGGUUGGAGGUUUGAUACGUCUCCAACGUAUCUAUAAUUUUUGAUUGCUCCAUGCUAUAUUAUCUACUGUUUUGGACUAUAUUGAGCUUUAUUUUCCACUUUUAUAUUAUUUUUGGGACUAACCUAUUAACCGGAGGCCCAGCCCAGAAUUGUUGUUUUUUGUCUAUUUCAGUGUUUCGAAGAAACGGAAUAUCAGACGGAGUCCAAACGGAAUAAACCUUUCUGGAACGUGAUUUUCUUCCCGAAUAUGACCCAGGAGACUUGGACCCUACGCCAAGGAAGCUUCGAGGUGGGCACGAGGUAGGGGGCGUGCCGUAUACCCCAAGGCGCGCCCCCCACCCUCGUGGGCCCACCGAAACUCCACCGACGUACUUCUUCCUCCUAUAUAUACCUACGUACCCCCAAACGAACAAAGACGGAGCCAAAAACCUAAUUCCACCGCCGCAACUUUCUGUAUCCACGAGAUCCCAUCUUGGGGCCUGUUCCGGAGCUCCACCGGAGAGGGCCGUCAUCACGAAGGGCUUCUACAUCAUCAUAGCCUCUCCGAUGAAGUGUGAGUAGUUUACCUCAGACCUUAGGGUCCAUAGUUAUUAGCUAGAUGGCUUCUUUUCUCUUUUUGGAUCUCAAUACAAAGUUCUCCCCUCUCUCGUGGAGAUCUAUUCGAUGUAAUCUUCUUCUUUUUGCGGUAUGUUUGUUGAGACCGAUGAAUUGUGGGUUUAUGAUCAAGUCUAUCUAUGAAUAAUAUUUGAAUCUUCUCUGAAUUCUUUUAUGUAUGAUUGGUUAUCUUUGCAAGUCUCUUCGAAUUAUCCGUUUGGUUUGGCCAACUAGAUUGGUAGUUCUUGCCAUGGGAGAAGUGCUUAGCUUUGGGUUCGAUCUUGCGGUGUCCUUUCCCGGUAACAGAAGGGGCAGCAAGGCACGUAUUGCAUCGUUGCCAUCGAGGAUAACAAGAUGGGGUUUAUUUCAUAUUGCAUGAAUUUAUCUCUCUACAUCAUGUCAUCUUGCUUAACGCGUUACUCUGUUUUUAACUUAAUACUCUAGAUGCAUGCUGGAUAGCGGUCGAUGAGUGGAGUAAUAGUAGUAGAUGCAGAAUCGUUUCGGUCUACUUGUCACGGACGUGAUGCCUAUAUACAUGAUCAUGCCUAGAUAUUUUCAUAACUAUGCUCAAUUCUGUCAAUUGCUCAACAGUAAUUUGUUCACCCACCGUAGAAUACUUAUGCUCUUGAGAGAAGCCACUAGUGAAACCUAUGGCCCCCGGGUCUAUUCUCAUCAUAUCAAACUCCAUCACUUUAAUCUUGCUUUGCUUUUUACUUUGCCUUUUUAUUUUCACUUUGCAUCUCUAUACCAAAAAUACCAAAAAUAUUAUAUCUAUCAGAUCUCACUCUCGUAAGUGACCGUGAAGGGAUUGACAACCCCUAAUCGCGUUGGUUGCGAGUAGCUAUCGUUUUGUGCAGGUACGAGGGACUUGAGCGUGGGCUCCUACUGGAUUGAUACCUUGGUUCUCAAAAACUGAGGGAAAUACUUACACUACUCUGCUGCAUCAUCCUUUCCUCUUCGGGGAAAUCCAACGCAAGCUCAAGAGGUAGCAAGGUUUUGAUGCUACUCGUCAUCUUGUUUCCAACAAACUUGAGUUUGCUCAAUUCGGAGCUCAUAUGCAGAAGUUAUGGCAGUUCUGGUUUUCCAUAGAGUAUACUUGCUUUUGUGGAAGUGGCAUAAGGAUGGCGCCAGCGGUAGUACCGCUGGGCCGGAGCGGCAGUACCGCUUAUCGCCACAAACGGUAGUACCGCUGUCCCACAGCAGUAGUACCGCCCAUGGCCAUAAGCGGUAUUACGGCUCCGGUUUCGCGUUGGUACCGCCUCAACUCAAGACGUGGUUUUCUCGUGUCGGGUUCAGCGGCAGUAGGAGCGGUAGUACCGCUCAUGUGCGGUAGUACCGCGGCUACCACCGCCCCUAGUACCGCUCAAUGGCCCUCCUCCCUGUUCCUUCUCCAUGUGCUCGUGGUAGGCGCUAUGCGUGGUCCCAGCGGUAGUACCGCUGACUCCAGCGGUAGUGUCGCUCAUACGGCUCUGCCUCGCACUCUGUUUCGGUCCGCUCAUACGGCUCAUACGGCUCUGCCUCGUGCGCGGACUGAGCACAUAACGAUUGGAUUCGGGAGCUCCUAUAAAAGGGAGUCUUCUUCCCCAUUCAACCUUAUCCUUUGAGCUCAUGUUCUUCCCCCAUUGUUGACCUUCUUCGAGCUUGCUAACUCUCAAUCCCUCCAUGGAUUAUUGCUAGUUUUUGAGGGAAAAGAGAGAGGAGAUCUAGAUCCACAUUUCCACCAAUCACUUUCUCCUCUUUGUGAGGGGAACCCCUUAGAUCUAGAUCUUGGAGUUCUUGGUGCUCUCCUUCUUGUUAUUCCUCUCAUUUUCUUCCCUAGCAUUAGUUGCUUUGGUGGGAUUUGAGAGAGAAGGACUUGGGCACUCCGUGUGCCCUUUCCAUUACAUUUGGUGCAUCGGUUUGAGUUCUCCAUGGUGAUACGUGGAAGUUACAAGUUGAGAAGCUUAUUACUCUUGGGUGCUUGGUACCAUUGAGCUUGUUCCUCUUGGGUGCUUGGGCACCCUAGACGGUUGGUGGUGUUCGGAGCUCAAUCAUUGUGGUGUAAAGCUCUGGGCAAGCGUCGGGGUCUCCAAUUAGGUUCUGGAGAUCGCCCCGAGCAAUUUGACGGGUACCGGUGACCGCCCCCAAGGGUUGCCAAAGUGUACGGGUUCGGUGACCGCCCCCAAGGGUUGCCAUUUGUACGGGUUCGGUGACCGCCCUCAAGGUUCCCUUAGUGGAAUCACGGCAUCUUGCAUUGUGCGAGGGCGUGAGGAGAUUACGGUGGCCCUAGUGGCUUCUUGGGGAGUAUUGUGCCUCCACACCGCUUCAAACGGAGAUUAGCAUCCGCAAGGGUGUGAACUUCGGGAUACAUCAUCGUCUCCGCGUGUCUCGGUUAUCUCUUACCCGAGCCCUUUACUUAUGCACUUUACUUUGUGAUAGCCAUAUUGUUCUUUGUCAUAUAUCUUGCUAUCACAUAGUUGCUUAUCUUGUUUAGCAUAAGUUGUUGGUGCACAUAGGUGAGCCUAGUUGUUUCAGGUUUUGUGCUUGGCAAAUUAACCGCUAGGUUUAUUCCGCAUUUGUUCAAGUCUAAACCGUAAUUAUUUUGAAGCGUCUAUUCACCCCUCCACCCCUCUAGGCGACAUCCACGAUCUUUCACCAACUCUGAAACAAUCCACAAUUAGCGGACAAAAGUCUCAACAUCCUCCAGGGGAGAGUCGGCAAAACACAUUACAAAUAGAGAUGCCAGCAUACAAAUAGACCAAUUUAAGGGCUCCUUUAAUUCAAAGAAAUUGCAUACAACUUCUGUAGGAUUGGAUCCUACUAGAAUUUUUCUUAUCUUUGUACUACUUCCUAUAGGAAAUCUAGCAAUCACUACAAUCUCCGUUUAGAAUUUCUUUGAUGGAAUCUAAAGAAUUUGGUUGCAUACAAAAUCCUGUAGGAUUUGAGCAGGUAAGACACUGCAAUCCCCCUAUCCUAUGAAUUCUCAUAAACGCGGAGUGUUAGAAACAAGAGAUUCUUAUCAAAGUGUACAACCUACUAAAACUGUCUUCAGUUUCCGCUCAUUAGAAAAUCAUCUUGCUGAAGAGAGAAUUCCUUAUUUAACACUGUCUAAAGCUUUGUUUUCUCUAUUUGGCACUGAAAAAAGAGAUAUUUCUUCCCUAUCUAACACAACCUUUAAAUUUUGUUCCCAAUAUAACAAUUUUUUUUCAUGCAAACAAUGCUAAAUGACAUGAAAUGACAAACAUCUAUUCAAUCCUUUUCUCUAUUCCAGUGUCUUAUUUAAGGCUGGAGUCCACGGUUAGUGUAACAGAAUAACACAAAAGGUUCAAGUACGUUGUCUUAUUUAAGGGAACCGUUGUGUAGCACAAGCAAGGCCAAAGGCUCAAGUACGUACAUACAUACGCAGCUAGAGACGAGCACGUUCUUCUUCUAGGGUACGCUGAUGGUUAUCGAAAGCUGGCUAGACUCUGCACCUUCGUUCCUGACAAGCAGACUCCUCACGGACUGCUCAGGAACACUUUCCUUGAAUAAAGCUCUUGAAUGUUGCCUGCAAAAAAAAAAGUUAAUCAAGUUGCCUGUGUAUUUCUGAGCUCGCACGGCGUGCGCUGCAUUUGAGUGAAUCGAUCUAGCAUUCUAAAAUCAACACUCCACCACGGGCUCGCCCAACACCCGCCCGCUCUCGUCCGCUGUGCUUUGGUCGCCCCUGGUGGGAGCUCCUAUUCGGUGCUCCAGGCGCCAGGGAAGCUCACGCGCUGGCACAGGUGGGCCGGCCCAUGUACACAUUCACAUUGGAGAAAAAAUGAAAAAAAGAACAGGAAAAAACAUGAAAAACCAAAAGAAAACAUGAGUUCAAAAAAGUUCAUGGAUUUUUAAAAAAUCUUAAACUUGAAGAAAAAGCUCAUCAAUUUGAAAAGAAGUUCAUAAAUUUAUCUUAAAACACCAUUGAAUUUGAAAAAAAUAACAAAAAAGUUUAUCGAUUUUGAAAAAAGUUCACCUAUUUUUAAAAAAUCAUCAUUUUUGCAAAACUUUCUACUCUCUCUCUCUCGGUUUACAGGGCGUGCGCGCACUCCUAGGUCAUCAAUUUGACCAAACUAAUACAAGUCAUAUAUUACAAAAAAUAUACCAAUAUAAACUUUGGAGUUUCUACUCUCAAAAUGUAUAAUUUUUGUGUUAUAUACUCCCUUCAUUCCUAAAUAUUUGUCUUUCUAGAAAUUUCAAAUGGACUACCACAUACGGAUGCAUAUACACAUAUUUUAGAGUGUAGAUUCACUCAUUUUGCUCCGUAUGUAGUCACUUAUUGAAAUCUCUAAAAAGACAAAUAUUUAGGAACAAAGGGAGUAGUUUAUAUUAGGGUGAUAAAAUUGGCAACCUAGGUAUACGCGCAGGACUUGUAAAUUGAAACGGAGGUAGUAUAAAAAUCAACAAUUUAAAAAAAAAGGUCAUCAAUUCUAUAAAAAGUUCUUAAAAUUGAAAAAAAAAUCAUCAUUUUAAAUAAAAAAAACUUCACCAAUUCUGAGAAAAGUUCACGAAAUUUAAGUAAAAAAGAAAAAAAUAGCUAAAUGGGCCGGCCCAGCUUAGAGGGCUUCAUGAGCUCGUUUGCAAAAUGAACAGUAACGAACCCAUGAAGCACCAAAUAGGUGCGAAGGAAAUGAGUGACCUGACCUGAUUGGUGCUUCUAGUGCCAGGGGUAAACUUGUCAUUUCACGUGUUAUAUGGGGAACAGGAUUUCAACCGAAUUUUUUAUUAUUAAUAAUUAAUAACCCAAUAAUUUGGAAACUAGUGACGGGGAAGUGGAAAUUUUAAAAAUAGUAAGGACGCUAAGUACAAUGGCGUCCACAGCUGGAUACUAUCGAGGAUAGCGUCCAGGUCUGGACGCUAUUAGUAAGUGCGUCCAGUCAAGUGAUUCGCCUAACCAUCAGAUUCGACUAAACCGGGUCUUUCCUAAUGACAGACAGAAGUUACGCGAGGUUUAAAACCCUAGUACGCAUGCAGUCUGCGCUCCUGGAACUCGCCGUAUGGUAAGCAAUCUCUGGCAGCCGGCAACACCGAUCAUCACAGGAGCGGCAAGGUCUCAUCAGCCGCUCGCCAUUAGGAUCCUCCAAUUGACUUUGUGCUUGAUUCAUGUUAGUUGUUGUACUGUCCUACUGAAUCUCCUUUGUUUUAAUCUUUAUGCAAUUGAUUCAAUGAUUUACAAGCAGACACUCUAUAAAUGAUUGGAUUGGUAUUCCUGAAUUACAAUCCUUAAUUGGGUGGUUUGUGAGAAGCCAAAUUUUCAGUCGUGAGUCUAUGGUAGAUCAAUUUAAAAUUGUGAUAUUCACUUGCUGCACGUUCAUGUUUGUAGGUGCAUAUAAGAAUAUGUUAAUCGUUCUGGUUUACGUGGAUGGUGAAGUGCAACAUGGGUCCAUGAGUGUGGAGUAUACUAUUCCUCCCAAGUUAACAUUUCCAGCAUCCGAGAAUACCACUUUUGAAGAUAUCAAGAGUGAGACAUGUCGAGGACUUGCACAUGUUAAUGUCAGUGCUCAAACGAACCUGAAUAUCCAAGCUUGCUUUGAUAUUGGAGCUCCUGGACCACAUUAUUUUCAGUUAAUUCCAAUAUAUGAGGAAAGAGGGUGGAACAUGAUUUUUGAGAAGACCAAGUCCCGGACAACGUGGCAAGUGAUAGAGUUAUAUGUUAACAUCACGCCAAAUCAAGACAUGUUGAGCCAAGUCAGCGGUGGAAGCAACAUACCAAUAAUUGAAAGGCACUUACAAAGGUAUGGAAGUGCAGUGCACUCGUCAUUGCAUCAAACAUCUGCCAGUGGUUUUCCAAAUUCUAGUUCGUGUGGUCUUGAUUUCGACAUGGCACAUGCUCCAUCUUCUACUCAUGGUACUGUGACAAAUGAUUUUCCAACAGGUACUGUCAAUGACCCAUAUGAUCAGGAGGAUACAGAGACAGAGGAGGAUUUUAUGGGACAUGAUGAUGAUGAGCAUGAUUCCGAUGCCGCACCUAGCCAGAGUUCAGACGAAGAUCCAGAACCAAGCGUUAUGCAUCAUGUUAAUGCAUUUCCAUUCAUGCGUACAUGUGGACAGAAUGGCGUGAGAGCCUUUGGUGACAUAUCUAUACUAACGGAGACGACAGCAGAUGAAAGUUUUUUUGGAUGCAAGAAGCACUUUCAAAGCCCAUUGUCAGAGCAGCAAAUUUUUGAUUCAAAAGAGCACCUCAAAAUUGCGAUUGGUGAAUUUCACAUAAACAUGAACUUGAAAGUGAAGUCCAACACAAGCAGUCAAUCUAAACUUGUAGCAGAGUGUAUUGAUGACAGUUGCAUGUGGAGGUUGUAUGCAAUACCAACAAAAAUUGGUUCAUGUUGGCAAAUAAGGAAAUGUCCUUAUUCUCACACUUGUCGUGCACCGGCUAAUAGAACUGACCAUUCUCAGUUAUCGGCCUCUAUAAUUGCAGAUGUGAUUCGUGAAGCACUCAAGGAUGACCUAGAGUUAAGUAUAAAAAAUGUGCGGGCAUUGGUCAAACACCGUUACAGAAAUGUGAGACCAUCAUACAAUAAGUUGUGGCGUGGAAGGGAGAAGGCCAUAGCAUAACUUUUUGGUAGCUGGGAAGGAUCAUACAAUCUUCUCAUCCCCUUCCUCGAGGCUAUUAGAGUAAAAAAUCCAGGUACAAAGUAUGUUCUUCUAUCAAAACCCAUGACAUUAGAAGGGCAUAGAGAAUUUCGAUGUGUUGCUUGGGCAUUUGGACCUUGCAUUGCAGCAGUUCCCCACCUUCGACCUGUAAUAAGUGUGGAUGCAUCAUUUCUAUCAGGAAGAUACAAGGGCCGGUUGAUAAUGGCUUGCGGAUAUGAUGCUAAUAAUAAGUUAAUACCUCUUGCAUUUGCCAUUGUUGAGAAAUAGGACGCUACGAACUGGGGCUGGUUCAUGAGAUGGUUGCGGAGGGAGGUAAUUGGUGUUGGAAAGUUCAUGUGUGUGAUUUCAGAUCGCCACAAAGCAAUCAAAUGGGUGUUUAAGCAACCACACCUUGGGUGGAAUGAAAGUGCUGGCGAGUGUGUGCAUCGCUUUUGCUCUCAACAUGUCGUAGAGAACCUAUACAAAGCUUUUUGUGAUGAUGACAUUUUGAAAAUUUUCAAGUGGGCAGUCAAGAAAAAGAAACCUCGUAGGUUUGAGGAGGGCAUGUCAUCUAUUGAACAUACUUGUCCCGAUGCAACAACAUAUCUUAGAAAGGUCGGUAAGUAUUUGCAGGAAGAUAAAAAUGAGCAAGAGAAGCCUGAGAAAGUAUUUCAAUGCAAGGAUGGGGGUUACCGGUGGGGGAUCAUGACAAGCAAUGGGUCGGAGUCCUUAAACAAUGUGCUUAGGCUUUCCCGAAGGCUACCGGUGGCAGCAAUUGUGGAGGAGACAUUUUCAAAGUGCUUAGAGUGGUUUGUAGAAAGAAGGCGAAGUGCUCUUAACUUGGUUGACGGAGGCAACCAAUGGUCCGAACGGGUGGACAAACUAUUAGUUAAAAGGGGCGACAAGGCAGGACAUAUGCAUGUUAUUUCAUAUGGUGAUGAAGUUGGAAUAUUUGAGGUCAAGGUUGAUAAUGAGAGGGUUGCAUUACACAAUGGAGAUCAUGUUCUUUUUAUUCAUAAAGACUUUAAGUACAAGGUCACUCUGCAACCAAAUACUUCUUCAUCUUGUGACUGCCUAAAGCCAAACCUGACCGAUGUGCCAUGUGCUCAUUUGCUUGCUGUUUGCAAGUACAGGAAUCUAAAUGAAAAUCAAAUAGUUCAUUCAUAUUAUUCCUCUGAAGUACUUGCAAACACUUGGGCUGGACAAUUUCAUCCUUACGGGAACCAAAAUGAGCAAACACUUGGGCCCAUUAUUAUUCUUCAGGAUACUCCACUAGAUAAACCUCAGUAAAUCAUAUUCUCUCUCAGUAUGAGCUAUGCUUACGAAACCAAUGAGAAAUCAUUAAAGCUGCUGCAUCAACAAUAUCAAUCAUUUACUGUCAACUACAUACUCAGCACGGUUCAUUCCACAUAAGGAGAUGGAAGUGCUGAACACUAAGUAGCUAGACAACAACAAUAAGCCACACAUGACAUACUGACAAAUGCAGCUAUGCAGCAACGAUGAAUUCAAAAGGAUCAUCCACACAGUGGAAAACGUAGCAAAUACAGUCAUCCAUCAGCAUCUGAUUUAGAAUCAUGGAAAUGACGCAAUCAUAAGCACACUCACCAUAAUAAACCAGAUUUUGAAGGUUCUCUUUGCUAACUUUCUUAAAUACAUUGCUUUUAAUCUCGGCAAAAUUAUUGGACACCAAAAGAGCCAAUAGUGCAUUGUUAUGUUCAGGAAUAGACUUUUUUUCACUCAGUAUCAAUGUCAAUCUAUUAAUCAGAAGAAGAGACAAAUACCAUGCAAGAAAUAGAAGAUAUUUUCUAGCAUCUAUUGUAGUGUUGGAGAGGAAGAACAUACAGCUUCAGGGGAAAAGUACAGAGCCUACCAUCCUGUGCUCCGGCGGGUGAUGAUUGAGGCUGUGAGGAAUGCUGGGACGAGGAACGGAACAGUUGUGCUGACCGCGGUCGAGAGAAGAGAGAAGGGCCGUCAACUCCGUCAAACUCGCCGUGGUGGCGCAACCUAGUUUGACAGAGGUGGGAGGCUACCACGAGGUGUUCUAGGGGAUGACAGGGAGGCGGCCUUGAGGAGGUGGGCGAGAGAUGAGGUGGAGGGCGGCGGCGGCAGCGGUGGCCAAGGGGGCGAUGGGCCGAAGUUGCUGGAUAGGAGCCCAGCCUAAACGUGGACGUGAUUGAUGCUAGCGUCCAGUCCAGGACGUCGCUUAUACUAGCGUCCGUGCAUGGACGCCGUAAUGCCUAGCGUCCUUACUAUUUCUAAAAAAUGUAAUUAUCCUUUCCUCGUUUCAUAAUUCCGUGAUUACUAAUUACUAUUAAUAAAAAAUUCGGGGAUUUCAAAGUAGGUAUUAAAUAAGGAAGAAAUAUUUCUUCAGAGUCAAAUAGGGAAACGAAAUUUAAAACUGUGUUAAACAAGGAAUUCUUUCAUUGCACAAAGGGAGGUCAAAACAGUGUUUCCUAUUAGACGUGUAAAGAAUAGCUAUAUUUUUUGCAGGGGCAAGAAAUGGCUAUAUGUGAAGAUGCUUUGUACUAGGAAGGCGCUAUUAACAGAUGCUCAUACAGUUAACACAUAACAAAUCAAGAUAUUAGGUCUCUGAAAGAAAUGGAUGCUGUAAUGGGGGUAUGGGCUCCAAGUUCACACCGUGGGCUCCAAGUUCACACCAUGGGCUCCAAGUUCACACCGUGGCAGGGCUUUCUGAAAACAUAUAACAAUCGCAGGUACAAAACCCAGACAAGCUACAUAACUGAAUAAACAGCAGAGUACCAAGUAAUCAAACAAAGGCACCAGACUCAUGUAUAAAAAUCUUAAAAAGAUUGGUCUUCUCAAAAUAGAAACCACGGGCUAAAGAUAGUGUCAACACAAUGGCCAUAGCUCUAUAGGUACGGACUGGUAAUACAGGACUUUGCUUCCGGAUAAAAUUCACCAGCUAGCCAAGUUCUAUUUCUUCUU
RNAcentral lists this long non-coding RNA (15680 nucleotides) under Triticum aestivum (bread wheat). Its description in RNAcentral is "long non-coding RNA (TAES_LNC005075)". The record is from RNAcentral. Lineage: Eukaryota; Viridiplantae; Streptophyta; Magnoliopsida; Poales; Poaceae.